Molecule: ribosomal RNA, 468 nt
Filed under: Actinomyces sp. oral taxon 172
Lineage: Bacteria; Bacillati; Actinomycetota; Actinomycetes; Actinomycetales; Actinomycetaceae
Description: bacterial SSU rRNA
Rfam family: Bacterial small subunit ribosomal RNA
Source: RNAcentral
GACGAACGCUGGCGGCGUGCUUAACACAUGCAAGUCGAACGCUGAAGCUCAGCUUGCUGGGUGGAUGAGUGGCGAACGGGUGAGUAACACGUGAGUAACCUGCCCCCUUCUUUGGGAUAACGCCCGGAGACGGGUGCUAAUACUGGAUAUUCACUGGCCUUCGCAUGGGGGUUGGUGGAAAGGUUUGUUCUGGUGGGGGAUGGGCUCGCGGCCUAUCAGCUUGUUGGUGGGGUGAUGGCCUACCAAGGCUUUGACGGGUAGCCGGCCUGAGAGGGUGACCGGUCACAUUGGGACUGAGAUACGGCCCAGACUCCUACGGGAGGCAGCAGUGGGGAAUAUUGCACAAUGGGCGAAAGCCUAAUGCAGCGACGCCGCGUGAGGGAUGGAGGCCUUCGGGUUGUAAACCUCUUUCGCUCAUGGUCAAGCCGCAACAGUGGUUGUGGGAGGGAGUGGGAAAGAAGCGCCGCA